AUUGCAUCUUAGCCUUUGGCUAAGAUCAAGUGUUCUUUGUUUGUUAUCUGUUCUUAUCAGUUUAAAAUCUGAUACCCCAAGGACAAUAUAUUAAAUGCACUUUUAGAAUAAGGAGGUGGAAUUGAGCUUUCUCUGUCUCCAUGCACUGACUCGGUAUUGCAGGACCUUGAGGAACAGUACAUCAGAA
Perognathus longimembris pacificus (Pacific pocket mouse) is the source of this 187-nucleotide small nuclear RNA. RefSeq annotates it as U2 spliceosomal RNA. NCBI's taxonomy places the organism in Eukaryota, Metazoa, Chordata, Mammalia, Rodentia, Heteromyidae. The transcript has a single exon. The record is from RefSeq and is a predicted model, not a curated record.